This 484-nucleotide ribosomal RNA is filed under the name uncultured bacterium. RNAcentral's name for it is "partial 16S ribosomal RNA". It matches the Rfam family "Bacterial small subunit ribosomal RNA", at positions 30 to 507 of the family's 1533-position model. The record is from RNAcentral.
AUUGAACGCUGGCGGCAGGCCUAACACAUGCAAGUCGAGCGGAUGAAGGGAGCUUGCUCCUGGAUUCAGCGGCGGACGGGUGAGUAAUGCCUAGGAAUCUGCCUGGUAGUGGGGGAUAACGUCCGGAAACGGGCGCUAAUACCGCAUACGUCCUGAGGGAGAAAGUGGGGGAUCUUCGGACCUCACGCUAUCAGAUGAGCCUAGGUCGGAUUAGCUAGUUGGUGGGGUAAAGGCCUACCAAGGCGACGAUCCGUAACUGGUCUGAGAGGAUGAUCAGUCAGAGUGGAAUUGAGACACGGGCCAGACUCCGUCGGGAGGCAGCAGUGGGGAAUAUUGGAAAAUGGGCGAAAGCCUGAUCCAGCCAUGCCGCGUGUGUGAAGAAGGUCUUCGGAUUGUAAAGCACUUUAAGUUGGGAGGAAGGGCAGUAAGUUAAUACCUUGCUGUUUUGACGUUACCAACAGAAUAAGCACCGGCUAACUUCGUG